AGCAGCCGCAGUAAUUCCAACUCCAAUAGCGUAUAUUAAAGUUGUUGCAGUUAAAAAGCUCGUAGUUGAAUUUUGAAUUCUUCCAAUUGGUCCAUCUUUUAGAUGAAUACUGGUUGUGUGGGGUCUAUUUGCCUGGUGAUACGUAAUGUCCUUUAUUGGAUGUUGCGAGUAGUCAGGACCUUUAUCUUGAAAAAAUUAGAGUGUUUAAAGCAGGCUUAUGCUGGAAUACAUUAGCAUGGAAUAAUAGAAUAGGACGAAGUUGUUUUAUUUUGUUGGUUUCUAGGACAACCGUAAUGAUUAAUAGGAAUAGUUGGGGGCAUUAGUAUUCAAUUGUCGGAGGUGAAAUUCUUGGAUUUAUUGAAGACUAACUAUUGCAAAAGCAUUUGCCAAGGAUGUUUUCAUUAAUCAAGAAUGAAAGUUAGGGGAUCGAAGAUGAUCAGAUACUGUCGUAGUCUUAACCAUAAACUAUGCCGACUAGGAUCGGGCGAUAUUGUUUCCAUGAUCGCUU
This 508-nucleotide ribosomal RNA is filed under the name uncultured Archaeospora. Its description in RNAcentral is "SSU rRNA". It matches the Rfam family "Eukaryotic small subunit ribosomal RNA", at positions 569 to 1082 of the family's 1831-position model. Lineage: Eukaryota; Fungi; Glomeromycota; Glomeromycetes; Archaeosporales; Archaeosporaceae. The record is from RNAcentral.